GAUGAACGCUGGCGGCGUGCCUAAUACAUGCAAGUCGAGCGAACAGACGAGGAGCUUGCUCCUCUGACGUUAGCGGCGGACGGGUGAGUAACACGUGGAUAACCUACCUAUAAGACUGGGAUAACUUCGGGAAACCGGAGCUAAUACCGGAUAAUAUAUUGAACCGCAUGGUUCAAUAGUGAAAGACGGUUUUGCUGUCACUUAUAGAUGGAUCCGCGCCGCAUUAGCUAGUUGGUAAGGUAACGGCUUACCAAGGCGACGAUGCGUGGCCGACCUGAGAGGGUGAUCGGCCACACUGGAACUGAGACACGGUCCAGACUCCUACGGGAGGCAGCAGUAGGAAAUCUUCCGCAAUGGGCGAAAGCCUGACGGAGCAACGCCGCGUGAGUGAUGAAGGUCUUCGGAUCGUAAAACUCUGUUAUUAGGGAAGAACAAAUGUGUAAGUAACUAUGCACGUCUUGACGGUACCUAAUCAGAAAGCCACGGCUAACUACGUG
This 497-nucleotide ribosomal RNA is filed under the name uncultured bacterium. RNAcentral describes it as "partial 16S ribosomal RNA". It matches the Rfam family "Bacterial small subunit ribosomal RNA", at positions 28 to 507 of the family's 1533-position model. The record is from RNAcentral.